GGGCCCGCACAAGCGGUGGAGUAUGUGGUUUAAUUCGAUGCAACGCGAAGAACCUUACCAGGGUUUGACAUCCUGCGAAUCUCUUGGAAACUUGAGAGUGCCUUCGGGAGCGCAGUGACAGGUGGUGCAUGGCUGUCGUCAGCUCGUGUCGUGAGAUGUUGGGUUAAGUCCCGCAACGAGCGCAACCCACGUCUUUAGUUGCCAGCAGUUCGGCUGGGCACUCUAUGGAAACUGCCCGUGAUAAGCGGGAGGAAGGUGUGGAUGACGUCAAGUCCUCAUGGCCCUACGGGUUGGGCUACACACGUGCUACAAUGGUGGUGACAAUGGGUUAA
RNAcentral lists this ribosomal RNA (332 nucleotides) under uncultured bacterium. RNAcentral describes it as "bacterial SSU rRNA". It matches the Rfam family "Bacterial small subunit ribosomal RNA", at positions 917 to 1250 of the family's 1533-position model. The record is from RNAcentral.